UGCGGUGUGGCCAAGUGGUAAGGAAAUGGGUUUUGGUCCCGCUAUGCGGAGAUUUGAAUCCUUCCAUCCUAG
RNAcentral lists this transfer RNA (72 nucleotides) under Gossypium hirsutum (cotton). It matches the Rfam family "tRNA". Rfam says of the family: Transfer RNA (tRNA) molecules are approximately 80 nucleotides in length. Their secondary structure includes four short double-helical elements and three loops (D, anti-codon, and T loops). Further hydrogen bonds mediate the characteristic L-shaped molecular structure. tRNAs have two regions of fundamental functional importance: the anti-codon, which is responsible for specific mRNA codon recognition, and the 3' end, to which the tRNAs corresponding amino acid is attached (by aminoacyl-tRNA synthetases). tRNAs cope with the degeneracy of the genetic code in two manners: having more than one tRNA (with a specific anti-codon) for a particular amino acid; and 'wobble' base-pairing, i.e. permitting non-standard base-pairing at the 3rd anti-codon position. RNAcentral also lists the same sequence under 1 other name. Lineage: Eukaryota; Viridiplantae; Streptophyta; Magnoliopsida; Malvales; Malvaceae. The record is from Rfam by way of RNAcentral.